CACCUAUUAGAGGCCAGACACAGUUCUGACUCUGGAUACAAGGGAGCAAGAUAGAAAAUGGGUCCUUGCUGCCACCGGUUUUACACCAUAAUACAGGAAACAGACAAUACAAGCCUUGCAGCCGUGACACCGUAUCCCGCCCAGAGCACUGGGCGGAGCUCUUUAUAGACAGUCAACAGCAAUGUAUUGCCCACAGGUGUGUAGUGAGCUAGUCGACCAGGGCCAGGUGAGAAUCCUGACCACAGGAACUCUCAUUUUAUCCGCAUCCCUUCUACCUCCUAAGGGUUUUCUCGCUCCUACAAGUCACCCCACUCAAUGUCUCUUUGAUUCAGCAGCUGGGGGAGGAUCAUAAAUCAUAUCCAUCAACUCCUCUGCUCAAGGACCUCCUUUGGCUCCCCACUACCUUGGAAUAAACCUUCACCUUGGCUUAUAAUGCCUGUAUGGCUGGCCGCUGCUUAAUGCUCUUCACUUCACCUCCUCCUCAAUUCCCUUCAUUUACUGGACCUCAACCACACCAUCUGUCCCUCAGCAAAUCCUGGGGAGGAACUUGGAUUUGUUGAGUACCCCAGAGAAACUUCUCUGUGGCCACAUGAGGACACAGAUAGGCUCACUGCAGCAUCACUUCUGCAAUCAGGAAAAAUUGGAAACAAAGGUCCAUCAAAACAGUCUGACAGAAUAAUUGUAGUUUAUUCAUACCAUGGACAAAAAUGAGCAAAUUUUUUCAUACUUUUUUUUUUUACCAUGAAGCCCAGUAAGAAAUACAUUUUACACUGUGAACCAGAGGUAGUAAAUUGUACUUCCCAAAGAGGCCUCAACAAUAUGUCCCAUUCUAUACGCUCUACAUAAAUCCUUUGCCUGUGA
Manis pentadactyla (Chinese pangolin) is the source of this 861-nucleotide long non-coding RNA. RefSeq lists it as uncharacterized. NCBI's taxonomy places the organism in Eukaryota, Metazoa, Chordata, Mammalia, Pholidota, Manidae. The transcript is spliced from 2 exons. The record is from RefSeq and is a predicted model, not a curated record.